UACGUAGGGUGCUGGCGUUGUUCGGAAUCACUGGGCGUAAAGCGUUCGCAGGCGGUUCUUUAAGUCAGCGGUGAAAUCCCAGGGCUCAACCUUGGAACUGCCUUUGAUACUGGGGAUCUCGAGUCCGGGAGAGGUGAGUGGAACUGCGAGUGUAGAGGUGAAAUUCGUAGAUAUUCGCAAGAACACCAGUGGCGAAGGCGGCUCACUGGCCCGGUACUGACGCUGAGGAACGAAAGCGUGGGGAGCAAACAGG
RNAcentral lists this ribosomal RNA (253 nucleotides) under uncultured bacterium. RNAcentral describes it as "partial 16S ribosomal RNA". It matches the Rfam family "Bacterial small subunit ribosomal RNA", at positions 524 to 776 of the family's 1533-position model. The record is from RNAcentral.